AACGCGAAGAACCUUACCUGCCCUUGACAUGUCAGGAAGCUCACAGAGAUGUGGGCGUGCCUUCGGGAACCUGAACACAGGUGCUGCAUGGCUGUCGUCAGCUCGUGUCGUGAGAUGUUGGGUUAAGUCCCGUAACGAGCGCAACCCUUGUCUUUAGUUACCAGCACGUUAUGGUGGGAACUCUAAAGAGACUGCCGGUGACAAACCGGAGGAAGGUGGGGAUGACGUCAAGUCCUCAUGGCCCUUAUGGGCAGGGCUACACACGUGUUACAAUGGUCGGUACAGAGGGUUGCCAACCCGCGAGGGGGAGCUAAUCCCGUAAAACCGAUCUCAGUCCGGAUUGAGGUCUGCAACUCGACCCCAUGAAGUUGGAAUCGCUAGUAAUCGUGGAUCAGAACGCCACGGUGAAUACGUUCCCGGGCCUUGUA
This 428-nucleotide ribosomal RNA is filed under the name uncultured beta proteobacterium. Its description in RNAcentral is "bacterial SSU rRNA". It matches the Rfam family "Bacterial small subunit ribosomal RNA", at positions 958 to 1385 of the family's 1533-position model. Lineage: Bacteria; Pseudomonadati; Pseudomonadota; Betaproteobacteria. The record is from RNAcentral.